GGAGACAGCAGCGUGGUCAGAGUGGUAGGAGCCGGCCAUCAGCGAGAGCUGCUCCAUGCCUGGCUGCUGGGUGCUAGAGCCUGCGGCCAGCUGGCUUGCCUCACUGUGGUUGGUGGUGGUGGUGACAGAGACUGCAGCACGACCAGAGUGGCUUUUCUGGCUUUGCCCGCCCAGCUGCUCCGUGCCAGGAGGAGGAGGAGACACCUAGAGCCUGCAACACCACGGCUCGCCUCCCUGCAGGUGGGUGGCAGUGACGGAGACUGCAGUGCGCCAAAGCAGUAGGAGAGCGGCCACACUAGGAGGGCAGGCGGCUGCAGCCAGGGUUGGGGGUCAGGCUUACAGCGAUGGACGGGCUGCAGCAGUGGCCAGGUGGUAGGAGCCUUGUAGGGAAGGCUGGUGCAUUGGCAAUGGGCCUGGCUUUUCCCUGCCCCUGCCAUGGAUUUGGCCCUGUACUGCCCUGCCUUGCCCUGUACCUGCUCUACUGUUACCUGGACUCUCGGCCCUGUCCUGCUCUGGUCCCAUCCUGACUCUGUCUUGG
This 538-nucleotide long non-coding RNA is filed under the name Homo sapiens (human). RNAcentral describes it as "non-protein coding lnc-TP53TG3F-10:1". Lineage: Eukaryota; Metazoa; Chordata; Mammalia; Primates; Hominidae. The record is from RNAcentral.